AAAGUGGUUGAUCCUGCAGUAGCACGUGCCUCUCCCUAAAGUUAAUCCACAGGUGUGUAAGCUCUCACGGCUGGUACCGUGAUGUAAUGAAGGACUUUGAGUGGUCAUUUGGCUCCUACCUGCAGAGCUGUGGGAAUUCUGGAACUAAUCAAUGCCCAUGGGCAUCGGUUGCUAUUGCUGUGAUGGUUCUAGAUAACCUAGAUUGCACGUCCUGUGGCCCUGUCAAGAAGUAGUUGUGCCUACCUUGGUGACCACCAUGACUGAGAAUACAGAUUUGGUUCCAUAGAGGGAAUCUGGUAAUUGACUGUCACAACCAAGGAAGACAGCAGUCUGUGGCCCGGGAGGGCAGUGAUCGAAAAACAAUACUAGACUCUUUCAAGGUCCUGUAAUUGGAAUGAGUCCACUUAAAAUCCUUCAAGGCGGAUCCUUGCAGGGCAAACCUGGUGUUAGCACCUGCGGUAAUCCCUGGCUUCUGUAGCAGGGUAUGGAGUUUGGUGCCAUUAAAAUGUGUGAUCUGCUGUGCAGCAUUGGGUCCACGCCAGGGAACCUCUGUCUGCAUCCCCACCCACUGCUUCUCGGAGCCCUCGUGCCUUCUCGCUGAGUUUCCCUAGACUGAAGUGUGCACUUGAGGAAAUUAGGGUACUCAAAGCUGAUGCAAGCUGCAUGCACAUUGCUGCUGGGAGUCAUGGAAUGGGAGCGUGGUUCUAUUUUUUUGGGUUGGAAGUUUGAUUGCGGAUGCCAAUUAGAUGAAACGCCUGGGAAGUUUGUAUUGCACCUCUAGAGCUUAAAGUCUUAGAUAUAUGCAAGACCGACCAGAGUGGAAGCUUUUGCCGAGGGUGUUUUCAUUAAUUAAGAAUGAAGGUGAAAAUGGGAGGUUUGGAAAGGUUCAGUUCCCUUGUAGUUCUGAUGGUAAACCAUGCCGACCCACCAGCGUUAUUCCCAGUAAAGUGCCUGCAAUUUCUGGGAAAUCAAAGUUUUUUGGAUGGUAGUAGCUAGAGGGUCUGUUCCAAAGCUGAAAUUGAAAGGCACAGCGUUGUAAUCUUCGCUUAAUUUGACUCAGCCUGAACAACUCUACGCGACUCCCAUCGUGAACAGGAUUGGCACGUUAAUAUAGCUCUUCCAUGGGUGCUGGUGCAUGGCCUUUCUGCAUUGCUGAAAUGAUUUGUCUAGUUUAUUGAUAAUAACCAGGGAGACUAGCAUGCUAAACACCUAGGUCACCCCAAGUGCUCGAUAAUCCUAACUUCAGCAAGUGUUGUUUAGCCACCAAAGAUUGAGCAGUCACAAGUCUGUGAUGCUCUUAAGUGUCUGGGAUCACGCCACACUGCUCAGCAUGUGUGUAUCCUAUUUUGGUGGGUGCCGGGGAUUUAGUUUUAAAUCCAUAAAUGAUAAGCUCUGGGUUGUAAUUAUUCCUCACUAAUGAGGAGUUCCCUGUGAGAGAGUAGAUCAGAAGCUUGUGUUAAGUCCCUCCCCCUUGUUCACACUGCCUGUUGCCCCUCAGAUUGCCUGUGUGGGGUCGGUACUUGGCUUUGGUGGAUUGCUGAGAAGUUGGUGUGAAUGAAAGUUGAGACCAGGUUUUGGUAGGUUGUCCUGUGGGAAGACGGCAUUA
Molecule: ribosomal RNA, 1606 nt
Organism: Camelus ferus (Wild Bactrian camel)
Lineage: Eukaryota; Metazoa; Chordata; Mammalia; Artiodactyla; Camelidae
Rfam family: Eukaryotic small subunit ribosomal RNA
Source: Rfam